RNAcentral lists this ribosomal RNA (669 nucleotides) under uncultured bacterium. Its description in RNAcentral is "bacterial SSU rRNA". It matches the Rfam family "Bacterial small subunit ribosomal RNA", at positions 71 to 647 of the family's 1533-position model. The record is from RNAcentral.
UUUAUCAUCAGCAUUGAAAGGUAAGCGUAAUUUUCGUUUUUAUCCGAAAUUCUCUGACAAGAAAAACGAAAAACGCGAUAAAUAAUACCUAACCUUUGUCGAUAAGAUAAAGAUUUGAGUUCUAAGGAUAAGUUGAGCGGCGGACGGGUGAGUAACGCGUGGGUAACCUGCCCUAUACACAUGGAUAACAUACUGAAAAGUUUACUAAUACAUGAUAACGUAAUUUUUCGGCAUCGAAGAAUUAUCAAAGCGUUAGCGGUAUAGGAUGGACCCGCGUCUGAUUAGCUAGUUGGUGAGAUGACUGCCCACCAAGGCGACGAUCAGUAGCCGACCUGAGAGGGUGAUCGGCCACAUUGGAACUGAGACACGGUCCAAACUCCUACGGGAGGCAGCAGUGGGGAAUAUUGCACAAUGGGUGAAAGCCUGAUGCAGCAACGCCGCGUGAACGAUGAAGGUCUUCGGAUCGUAAAGUUCUGUUGCAGGGGAAGAUAAUGACGGUACCCUGUGAGGAAGCCCCGGCUAACUACGUGCCAGUAGACGCGGUAAUACGUAGGGGGCUAGCGUUAUCCGGAUUUACUGGGCGUAAAGGGUGCGUAGGUGGUCCAUCAAGUCGGUGGUUAAAGGCUACGGCUCAACCGUAGUAAGCCUCCGAAACUGUUGGACUUGAGU